RNAcentral lists this ribosomal RNA (377 nucleotides) under uncultured bacterium. RNAcentral describes it as "partial 16S ribosomal RNA". It matches the Rfam family "Bacterial small subunit ribosomal RNA", at positions 524 to 898 of the family's 1533-position model. The record is from RNAcentral.
UACGUAGGGGCCCAGCGUUGUCCGGAUUCAUUGGGCGUAAAGCGCGCGCAGGCGGCCCGGUGUGCCGCCCGUGAAAUCCCCCGGCUCAACCGGGGGGGGUCGGGCGGGACUGCCGGGCUGGAGGCGGGUAGGGGAGAGCGGAAUUCCCGGUGUAGUGGUGGAAUGCGUAGAGAUCGGGAGGAACACCAGUGGCGAAGGCGGCUCUCUGGACCCUUGCCUGACGCUGAGGCGCGAAAGCGUGGGGAGCGAUCCGGAUUAGAUACCCGGGUAGUCCACGCCCUAAACGGUGCGGACUAGGUGUCGGGGGUAUCGACCCCCCCGGUGCCGGAGCUAACGCAUUAAGUCCGCCGCCUGGGGACUACGGCCGCAAGGCUAAA